RNAcentral lists this long non-coding RNA (234 nucleotides) under Vigna radiata. RNAcentral's name for it is "long non-coding RNA (VRAD_LNC004978)". Lineage: Eukaryota; Viridiplantae; Streptophyta; Magnoliopsida; Fabales; Fabaceae. The record is from RNAcentral.
AGAAAAAAAAAAGAAUAAGGAUGGAGAAGAAGCAUAGUAAAAGCACUACGAAAAAGAAACUCAAUGGAAGCAUAAGGGGGAAGAAACAUAACAAAAAAUAAUAAAAUAAUCUUAAUGAGAAGAAGAGAGAAAAAGUAAUGAAGAAAUGGAGAAUAAACUCACCGGAAAAGAAGAAUCACAAAUAAGUGUGGGACAAAUUCACGGUGAAGAAGAACAAAAUCAUUCUGAAACGCU